Amblyraja radiata (thorny skate) is the source of this 224-nucleotide long non-coding RNA. RefSeq lists it as uncharacterized. Lineage: Eukaryota; Metazoa; Chordata; Chondrichthyes; Rajiformes; Rajidae. The transcript is spliced from 3 exons. The record is from RefSeq and is a predicted model, not a curated record.
AAAUAUUAAUACUGGGGCUGGAACGUGUCGGUCUCACAGAUUCUGGAGCUGAGGAUCCCGACUCCGCUCUCAGUGCAAACCCCUCACUGACGGAGCUGUGGCUGGGAUGCAACUCCCUCACAGACCGAUCUGUCCCCGCUCUCCGCCGCCUCAUACUGAACCACCCGAGUCUGGAGCGGAUCCUGCUGGGGGCGAAUAAGUUCAGUGAAGAUGGAGAGAAGCAG